RNAcentral lists this unclassified non-coding RNA (420 nucleotides) under soil metagenome. RNAcentral's name for it is "partial contains 5.8S ribosomal RNA, internal transcribed spacer 2, and large subunit ribosomal RNA". The stretch from base 1 to 120 matches the Rfam family "5.8S ribosomal RNA", at positions 35 to 154 of the family's 154-position model. The record is from RNAcentral.
GAUGAAGAACGUAGCGAAAUGCGAUAAGUAAUGUGAAUUGCAGAAUUCAGUGAAUCAUCGAAUCUUUGAACGCAUCUUGCGCUCCUUGGUAUUCCUUGGAGCAUGCCUGUUUGAGUAUCAUGAGCAAAUCUCAAAGUCAAUUCCUUUUGUUAAUUCAAUUGGUUUUGCUUUGGACUUGGAGGUCUUGCAGAUUUCACACAGUCUGCUCCUCUUAAAUGCAUUAGCUGGAUCUCAGUAAUUAUGCUUGGUUCCACUCGGCGUGAUAAGUAUCACUCGCUGAGGACACUGUUAAAAAGGUGGCCAGGAAAAUACUGAUUGAACCGCUUCUAACGGUCUAUUAAGUUAGACAAUUACCCUUAAGUUUGAUCUCAAAUCAGGUAGGACUACCCGCUGAACUUAAGCAUAUCAAUAAGCGGAGGA